AAGAAGAAAGUGGAAAAUAAUAUUGAGCAAGAAAUAUUAAAUCUAUUCCAGCGAGGAUGAUUGACGGAGAAAGGUCUUAAACUCUAUCCUCCGGACUUUGGCAAUUUAUUUAUUCGUUUACUCCACCGUGCUGUUAGCUCAGGUUGACACGAGGCACGUGUUGGAGAAAGGUGUUAACUAUAUCCUAUUUGAGGCUUUGUUUGGCAACCUAUUUAUUUGUUUAUUUCAGUAUGAUUUUACCUCAGCUUGACGUGAGUCACUUGUUGGACACGUGGCC
This 277-nucleotide long non-coding RNA is filed under the name Phoenix dactylifera (date palm). RNAcentral's name for it is "long non-coding RNA (PDAC_LNC019779)". Lineage: Eukaryota; Viridiplantae; Streptophyta; Magnoliopsida; Arecales; Arecaceae. The record is from RNAcentral.